UACGGAGGGUGCAAACGUUAAUCGGAAUUACUGGGCGUAAAGCGCGCGUAGGCGGUUUGGUAAGUGGGAUGUGAAAGCCCCGGGCUUAACCUGGGAACUGCGUUUGAAACUACAAGGCUAGAGUGUAGCAGAGGGGGGUGGAAUUCCACGUGUAGCAGUGAAAUGCGUAGAGAUGUGGAGGAACACCGAUGGCGAAGGCAGCCCCCUGGGUUAACACUGACGCUCAGGCACGAAAGCGUGGGGAGCAAACAGG
This 253-nucleotide ribosomal RNA is filed under the name uncultured bacterium. RNAcentral's name for it is "partial 16S ribosomal RNA". It matches the Rfam family "Bacterial small subunit ribosomal RNA", at positions 524 to 776 of the family's 1533-position model. The record is from RNAcentral.